Equus caballus (horse) is the source of this 4320-nucleotide long non-coding RNA. Lineage: Eukaryota; Metazoa; Chordata; Mammalia; Perissodactyla; Equidae. The record is from Ensembl.
CUCAUAAGAAAAGUUUGAUACAGCAUCUCUAGCUCGGUGACCUAGAUAGGGCACAGAGCAACAGCGCUUCCGUAAUUUGGUUAUUGCCAGCUCUCUAGAGCAAUAAAGCUGAGCAAACUCUCAGUUGCCAUCGUUACUCAGUUUGCAGUAAUCAUCUGUAAAUUGCCUGCUUGUCAGGAUUGGUGGAAUAGUUAGGGAGGAGAGGAUAAGAGCUAACCAGAGCAGAAGCUGAAUUUUCCAAAACAGCAAAAUACCCUCCAACGCGCUUAAAUAUCACCUCCGGGCUCAGUGAUCCAUCCCCACCCAAGACCUCGCCGGACUGCUACUCCAAGCCGCCAAAGAGCCACAUACGGCCAAGGACAACGAGUUCCGAGCUUAAAGGAAAAUAGCUUCCCUCGCUGGCCACUUCUCCCUUCGGAGGCUCUCAUGAUGUGACCGUUCGUCUCUAUUUUGAAACACUCAUCUCAAUUAUUCCCUGCAAUACGUCAGGAAAGGAGGACCCUCACGACAAACACGACAUAGUCAUUGAAUUAACAGGAAAAUGGGGAAACUCUGGUGGAACUUUAUAGGGACAACAUCUACUAAAACCGGCUUUUCUUCAACAAAUGAGAAUAUGGAAGUAAUUUUGUGGCUAAUGAACACAGAAUACUUGAGAUAUGCAGCAAGCUGCCAUGUAACUCUAGAUUCCUGAAAUUGGUGGUAUGAAAACAGCUCUAAGGCUGCUUUUGAGCAGGGAUUAUAGUCAAUCCUACACCACUAAAGUAAUUACAGCAGAAAAAAGACCAUUUUCAACAAAGUUGAAGAAUUUCUCUGAUUUGCAUUAAAUAUUUGUCAUUUUCUUGGCUUGUGUUUCUCCUUUCAUCACUGCGCUGUAUGCGAGAUCAUGUGUUUCAAGGCUGGCUCAUUCUCAUUUAGGUUCAAAUCAAAUUCUACACUGUUCUUUUGGAUGCAGGGGUUUCCCUGAAGUUAAACGGAGUUUCCUCCACUUUUGUUGAGAUCUAAAGAAGCGGGAUUUCAGUUCCUCACUCAUCACUUGAAUCACUCCGGUGUGUCUACCCUCAGCUUUCUUGCUACUUUCUCCCUCCAUCAUACUCUGUUAGCAGAUAAUAAAGCCCUUCUAUCAUAUUUUCUAUGUGUCAACCAUGUUCUAAGCACUGUACACCUAUUGCCUCAAUGACACCCUAUGAGGAUAUGGCAGAAUAUACGGGCCCAGAUGCAGGUAGUUGGGAGACAGGGCAGUGGAAGCACAUAAAAGAUGUCUUCUCAAUCCUUCUGGUCUCUGUAAAUGAGAAAUAGGCCAUACUCAUUUUAAAGAUGAGGAACCCGAAGCACAGAGAGAGAGCAAGCAGUUUGUUCAAGACCACCUAGCUGCAAAGUGGCAGAACUAUGAUUUGAAUCCGAGCAGUCUGACUCCAGAGUCUGUACUCUUAGCCGUCAACACUACUGCAGAAUUCCUCCCUGGUUAAAUUCAACUCUGUACUUCCCCUGCCUGUACUUGGGAAGCUGAAUAGAGCUGAAGAAAAACGACCAUGCAGGCUGUUCUCCCUUCACAUUCAUGCCUGGGCAUAGCCUCAAAAGCCACUCUACUUUUGAAUUCUGUUCAUUUGUUGAUUAUUUCACACCUUUUCUCUCUUUAAACCUUUGCUGCCACUUCUCCAGUCUUCAUUGCUGACGACUUGUUUCCCAUUUCAUGGAGAAAAUGGAAACAGUCAGAAGAGAGCAUCCACCUGCUUCCACCGCCCUUCUACUGACCCACCUGUAUGGGGCCCCAUGUACUCUGCCUGCCCUUUACCAUGGAUGAAAGCCUAUGUUCCUGUCUAAAUUCAGUAGCUUCUUGUUCUGCACUGGAUCCCACUCCCCUACCUUCUCCAGGAUUUCUCUCUUUCAAAUGUAUCCCCUCUCCUGUAUCAUCAGUUUUCCUACCCCUACUGAAUCAUUCCCAUCAGUAUACAGAUGUACUGUAAUAUCUCCUCUUAAAAACAAAAACAGACUUCUGGUUUCUGGUCUGGCAUGUGAGGAGCUUGGCAAUUGUCAUUCUGUCCUAACAACAAGUAAAAAACUGAACAAAUUGAAAAAUCAACAACUUUUCAUGGAUCCAUCAGAGAAGUGAGGUUACAGGCAAACCCCAAAAUUGGAGAGCUAGGCAAAUAUAGAGAAGAAUAACUUAUUGGAGGAGAAACCUACAUGAGGAGCAGUACGGGGCUAGGAAAACCUGAACUGUAAUUGCCAAAUUGCUGGAGGCUCAGUGUGCACAAGUCUGAGACUUUAAAACCCCAGGGGGACCCAGUCCCUGGGAGGCCCCCACAGUUUUGUGAGUUUUACUUCCAGGAGCCCUACCUAGUUCUCACGGUGAAUGUCAGAGAAAAAUCCGCUUGUGCUUCUAGCAGGGGGAGAAGAAAAGGAACCAUUUUGAAAUAUGCAAAAGCAUUCUCUUCUUCACAAGGCCUGCCCAUAAAAGAAACUUUUCACCAGAGCCUAAACUAUUGGGAUUUUAUCAGAGCCUAACCAACGUGGGGGAAGGGAAAUAAGCAACUCCAGCUGGCUCCAGCCUUCUACAUGGGAGAAGGGAAAUACCCAACGUCAGUCCCUCUGGCCUUCCACUGGGGGAAGGGAAGCACCAAGUCCAGCCCCCUCUAGCCAACCUGUCCCACAUAAGGGGGGCAAAAAGUGAGAAGCGCUUGUGAAGUUCAGAGGCACAGGCUGUCUAAAAGACCAACACCUAAUGAGAGGACCAUAGAAUGUUUUCCCUCCUCCCGCACCUCACCACCACGUUACUAAAGGCCUGCAAUUCAUUCUAUCCAGUAUAUCAUGCCUGGCUGUCAAGAAAAAAUUAAAAAGCAUACUAGAAGGCAAAAAAUCAGUUUGAAGAGUCAACAAGCAUCAGAAGUAGACUCAGAUAUUGCAGGGAUAUUGGAAUGAUCACACCAGGAAUUUAUAACAACUGUGAUUAAUAUGCUAAGGUCUCUAAUGGAUACAGUAGACAGCAUGCAAAAUCACUAUUUUGUAAUGUAAGCAGAGAGGUGGAAAUUCUAAGAAAGGACAAAAGAUAAAUACUAGAGUUCAAAAAAUGCUGUAACAGAAAUGAAGAAUGCCUUCAGUGGGCUUAUUGGUAGACUGGACACAGCUGUGAAAAGAAUCUUUGAGCUUGAGGAGGUCUUAACAGAAACCUCCGAAAUUGCAAAGCAAACAGAAAAAAGACUGAAAAAACCCAAACAAAUCCAGAACAGAAUAUCUAAGAAAGGUGGGACAACUAUAAAACAUAUAACAUACACGUAUUAGGAAUACCUGAAGGAGAAGAAAGAGAAAUGAAAGAGAGGACAUCACUACAGAUCCCAUGGACAUUUAAAGGAUAAUUAUAUACUUCACAAAAAUUAACUCAAAAUGGAUCAUAGACCAAAAUGUAAAAUGCAAAAUUAUAAAACUCCUAGAAGAUAACAUAGGGGAAAAUCUAGAUGAACUUGGUAUGGUGAUGACUUUUUAGAUACAACAUCAAAUCCAUGAAAGAAAGAACUGAUAAAGUGGAUUUCAUUAAAACUAAGGACUUCUGCUCUGUGAAAGACAAUGUCAAGAGAAUGAGAAGACAUGCCUCAGAGUGGGAGAAAAUAUUUGCAGAAGACAUAUCUGAUACAGGACCAUUUUACAAAACAUACAAAGAACUCUUAAAACUCAACAAUAAGAAAAUGAACAACAGCAUUAAAAAAUGAGCUGAAGACCUGAACAGACACUCUAUCAAAGAAAAUAUGUAGAUGGAAAAUAAGCAUAUGAAAAGAUAUUUGACAGUAUGUGUCAUUAGGGAAUUGGAAAUUAAAAUAACAAUGAGAUACCACUACACACUCAAUAGACUGGCAAAAAUCCAAAACACUAACACUGAAUGCUGGUGAGGAUGCAGCAAUAGGAACUAUCAUUGCUGGUGGGAAUGCAAAAUGGUACAGUCACUUUGGAAGAUAGUUUGGCAAUUUCUUAUAAACUUAAACAUAUAAGAUUCAGCAAUUGCACUUCUUGGUACUUACUGAAAUGAGUUGAAAAGUUAUGUCCACACAAAAAAUUGUACAUGAAGAUGCUUAUAGCAGCUUUACUCAUAAUUGCCAAAAUGUGGAAGUAAUAAAGAUGUCCUUAAAUAAACUGUGGUACAUCCAGUCAAUGGAAUAUUAUUCAGUGCUAAAAAGAAAUGAGUUAUCAAGCCAUGAAAAGACAUAGAGGAACCUUAAAUGUAUGUUACUAGUGACAGAAGUCAGUCUGAAAAGGUUACAUACUGUAUCAUUCCAACUGUAUGACAUUCUAGAAAAGGCAAAAGUAUGGAGAUAAUUAAAAGAUCAGUUG